UAGCUCAGUGGUUAAGAGCACUGGUUCCUCAUGCAGAGGACCCAGGUUCAAUUCCUGG
RNAcentral lists this transfer RNA (58 nucleotides) under Neotoma lepida (desert woodrat). It matches the Rfam family "tRNA", at positions 8 to 63 of the family's 71-position model. From Rfam's summary of the family: Transfer RNA (tRNA) molecules are approximately 80 nucleotides in length. Their secondary structure includes four short double-helical elements and three loops (D, anti-codon, and T loops). Lineage: Eukaryota; Metazoa; Chordata; Mammalia; Rodentia; Cricetidae. The record is from Rfam by way of RNAcentral.